Molecule: ribosomal RNA, 1449 nt
Filed under: human gut metagenome
Description: bacterial LSU rRNA
Rfam family: Bacterial large subunit ribosomal RNA
Source: RNAcentral
AUAGUACUGUGAAGGAAAGGUGAAAAGGACCCCGGGAGGGGAGUGAAAGAGAACCUGAAACCCUGUGUCUACAAGCUGUGGAAGUACUUCUUAGGUACGACCGCGUACUUUUUGUAGAACGGUCCGGCGAGUUACGCUUACUGGCAAGGUUAAGCACUUCAGGUGUGGAGCCGUAGGGAAACCAAGUCUUAAGAGGGCCUUAAGUCAGUAGGAGUAGACCCGAAACCGGGUGAUCUAUCCAUGUCCAGGUUGAAGCUGCCGUAAGAGGCAGUGGAGGACCGAACCCACAUCCGUUGAAAAGGGUGGGGAUGAGGUGUGGAUAGGGGAGAAAUUCCAAUCGAACCCGGAGAUAGCUGGUUCUCCUCGAAAUAGCUUUAGGGCUAGCCUCGAUAUAGAUUUGCGGAGGUAGAGCACUGAAUUUCCUAGGGGGCGUCAAAGCCUACCGAAGAAUAUCAAACUCCGAAUGCCGCGUAAUCGAUUAUCGGGAGUCAGACUGCACGAGAUAAGUUGGGCGGUCAAAAGGGAAAGAGCCCAGACCUUCAGUUAAGGUCCCAAAGUGUGCGUUAAGUGGAAAAGGAUGUGGGAUUUCGAAGACAACCAGGAUGUUGGCUCAGAAGCAGCCAUCCAUUCAAAGAGUGCGUAAUAGCUCACUGGUCGAGAGGUCCUGCGCCGAAAAUGUCCGGGGCUGAAACGCGCCACCGAAACUAAGGAACCGAAAGGUUGGUAGAGGAGCAUUGCAUGCGGGAAGAAGCAGUACCGUAAGGAGCUGUGGACUGCAUGGAAGAGAGAAUGCCGGAAUGAGUAGCGAGAAUAAGGUGAGAAUCCUUAUGGCCGAAUAUCCAAGGUUUCCAGAGUAAAGCUGAUCUGCUCUGGGUAAGUCGGGGCCUAAGGCGAGGUCGAAAGACGUAGCCGAUGGACAACAGGUUUAGAUUCCUGUACCGCAUAUAAACAGAACUGUGGGGACGCAUGUGGAAAGCAUAAGCCGGGAAUGGAAAGACCGGUACAAGCGGGGUAGGUGUGUGACAGGCAAAUCCGUCACAUAAGCCGAAGACGUGAUGUGGAGCGAAAUUUAGUAGUGAAGUAUGUGAGCCAUGUGCCGAGAAAAGCCGCUAUUGUUUUAUAUGUGCCCGUACCGUAAACCGACACAGGUGGAUGAGGAGAGAAUCCUAAGGCCGACGGAAGAAGCAUUGUUAAGGAAUUCGGCAAAAUGACCCCGUAACUUCGGGAGAAGGGGUGCCCACUGAAUGGUGGGCCGCAGAGAAUAGGCUCAAGCAACUGUUUAGCAAAAACACAGGUCUAUGCGAAACCGAAAGGUGAGGUAUAUGGGCUGACGCCUGCCCGGUGCUGGAAGGUUAAGAGGAGAGGUUAGCGCAAGCGAAGCUUUGAAUUUAAGCCCCAGUAAACGGCGGCCGUAACUAUAACGGUCCUAAGGUAGCGAAAUUCCUUGUC